AUUGAACGCUGGCGGAAUGCUUUACACAUGCAAGUCGAACGGCAGCACGGACUUCGGUCUGGUGGCGAGUGGCGAACGGGUGAGUCAUGUAUCGGAACGUGCCCAGUCGUGGGGGAUAACGUAGUGAAGAUUACGCUAAUACCGCAUACGAUCUAUGGAUGAAAGCGGGGGAUCGCAAGACCUCGCGCGCUUGGAGCGGCCGAUAUCAGAUUAGGUAAUUGGUGGGGUAAAGGCCCACCAAGCCAACGAUCUGCAGCUGGUCUGAGGGGACGACCAGCCACACUGGAAGUGAGACACGGUCCAGACUCCUACGGGAGGCAGCAGUGGGGAAUUUUGGACAAUGGGCGAAAGCCUGAUCCAGCCAUUCCGCGUGCAGGAUGAAGGCCCUCGGGUUGUAAACUGCUUUUGUACAGAACGAAAAGGUUUCUACUAAUACUAGGAGCUCAUGACGGUACUGUAAGAAUAAGCACCGGCUAACUACGUGCCAGCCGCCGCCGUAA
RNAcentral lists this ribosomal RNA (500 nucleotides) under uncultured bacterium. RNAcentral's name for it is "partial 16S ribosomal RNA". It matches the Rfam family "Bacterial small subunit ribosomal RNA", at positions 30 to 523 of the family's 1533-position model. The record is from RNAcentral.